UACGGGGGGAGCAAGCGUUGUCCGGAAUUAUUGGGCGUAAAGAGCUCGUAGGCGGUCUGUCGCGUCUGCUGUGAAAACUCAGGGCUUAACCCUGAGCUUGCAGUGGGUACGGGCAGACUAGAGUGCGGUAGGGGAGAGUGGAAUUCCUGGUGGUAGCGGUGAAAUGCGCAGAUAUCAGGAAGAACACCAAUGGCGAAGGCAGCUCUCUGGGACGGUACUGACGCUGAGGCACGAAAGCGUGGGGAGCAAACAGG
This 254-nucleotide ribosomal RNA is filed under the name uncultured bacterium. RNAcentral's name for it is "partial 16S ribosomal RNA". It matches the Rfam family "Bacterial small subunit ribosomal RNA", at positions 524 to 776 of the family's 1533-position model. The record is from RNAcentral.